RNAcentral lists this ribosomal RNA (495 nucleotides) under uncultured bacterium. Its description in RNAcentral is "partial 16S ribosomal RNA". It matches the Rfam family "Bacterial small subunit ribosomal RNA", at positions 28 to 507 of the family's 1533-position model. The record is from RNAcentral.
GACGAACGCUGGCGGCGUGCCUAAUACAUGCAAGUAGAACGCUGAAGGAGGAGCUUGCUUCUCUGGAUGGGUUGCGAACGGGUGAGUAACGCGUAGGUAACCUGCCUGGUAGCGGGGGAUAACUAUUGGAAACGAUAGCUAAUACCGCAUAAGAGUAGAUGUCGCAUAACAUUUGCUUAAAAGGUGCAAUUGCAUCACUACCAGAUGGACCUGCGUUGUAUUAGCUAGUUGGUGAGGUAACGGCUCACCAAGGCAACGAUACAUAGCCGACCUGAGAGGGUGAUCGGCCACACUGGGACUGAGACACGGCCCAGACUCCUACGGGAGGCAGCAGUAGGGAAUCUUCGGCAAUGGACGGAAGUCUGACCGAGCAACGCCGCGUGAGUGAAGAAGGUUUUCGGAUCGUAAAGCUCUGUUGUAAGAGAAGAACGAGUGUGAGAGUGGAAAGUUCACACUGUGACGGUAUCUUACCAGAAAGGGACGGCUAACUACGUG